UACCCAGACUCCUACGGGAGGCAGCAGUGGGGAAUAUUGCACAAUGGGGGGAACCCUGAUGCAGCGACGCCGCGUGGGUGAAGGAGUAUUUCGGUAUGUAAAGCCCUAUCAGCAGGGAAGAACAAUGACGGUACCUGACUAAGAAGCACCGGCUAAAUACGUGCCAGCAGCCGCGGUAAUACGUAUGGUGCAAGCGUUAUCCGGAUUUACUGGGUGUAAAGGGAGCGCAGGCGGCACGGCAAGCCUGAUGUGAAAACCCGAGGCUCAACCACGGGAGUGCAUUGGAAACUGGCGGGCUGGAGUGCCGGAGAGGUAAGCGGAAUUCCUAGUGUAGCGGUGAAAUGCGUAGAUAUUAGGAGGAACACCGGUGGCGAAGGCGGCUUACUGGACUGUAACUGACGUUGAGGCUCGAAAGCGUGGGGAGCAAACAGGAUUAGAUACCCCGGUA
This 448-nucleotide ribosomal RNA is filed under the name uncultured bacterium. Its description in RNAcentral is "bacterial SSU rRNA". It matches the Rfam family "Bacterial small subunit ribosomal RNA", at positions 328 to 792 of the family's 1533-position model. The record is from RNAcentral.